ACAAUGGAUCUCUUGGCUCUCGCAUCGAUGAAGAACGCAGCGAAAUGCGAUAAGUAAUGUGAAUUGCAGAAUUCAGUGAAUCAUCGAAUCUUUGAACGCAUAUUGCGCUCUCCGGCAUUCCGGAGAGCAUGCCUGUUUGAGU
Molecule: ribosomal RNA, 142 nt
Filed under: uncultured Olpidiaceae
Lineage: Eukaryota; Fungi; Olpidiomycota; Olpidiomycetes; Olpidiales; Olpidiaceae
Description: 5.8S ribosomal RNA
Rfam family: 5.8S ribosomal RNA
About the family: 5.8S ribosomal RNA (5.8S rRNA) is a component of the large subunit of the eukaryotic ribosome. It is transcribed by RNA polymerase I as part of the 45S precursor that also contains 18S and 28S rRNA.
Source: RNAcentral